RNA transcript from Microplitis mediator, 4915 nucleotides. It is a transcript of the gene named condensin-2 complex subunit D3-like, with no coding region annotated. The transcript is spliced from 6 exons. NCBI's taxonomy places the organism in Eukaryota, Metazoa, Arthropoda, Insecta, Hymenoptera, Braconidae. The record is from RefSeq and is a predicted model, not a curated record.
UUCGUUAUAAGCAUGCAUUAUAUCCGAAAACAUUCUCAGUAUAGUUGUGUAUUGUAAGAAUUUAAUUCGCACAUAAACGGGUCCAUCUCUCGCGCUUUCCAACGUCAGUUCAUCAACACGCGCCACAUCUUUACCCAAAUCUAUUCCCAGCAACCAGAAGUCAGGUUAUGUUGACAUCAACAAACAUUUAAAAAUUUAAAAAAAAAAAAUGGAGCCGCUGAGAAUAUUUGAAAAAUUUAAACUAGACAACCUAGACAAGUCUUGGAUAGACUCAGUUUGGAACAACGAGUUUAUCAUCAUAAAUAAAAUACCAGGUGAUUAUAUUUUAUUUGCAGAAAGCGAAGACAUGGAGAUAUUGCUAAAAGAAACCUGUAACGUCGUUAAAAACUGGAUUGACGUGAACAAGAACGAUGAUGCUGACAGGUCAGAGGUGUCUUGGCAAACCCUCUGCGCACUGAACGUCGACCAACGCGCACUUUUAGCUCUCCUCGGCUAUUUAAUUAAAACAGGACAGGGUAUGGAUGCUGACGAAGACUCACGUCAAGCUUGUCUCCAUGCUACAAGUCUCUACCUGACACUUCUAGCUAUUCCCGGUAGCAGCGCGUACCAAAUAUUCCACGAAAACUUAUACUACAGUGUCAUAAAAUCACUGGAAUUAUCCCAGCACCUGAUGCCGGUGAUUAAGAAGUCUGUUAAAAAUUUAGACCUCGAGAGCUUGUACAUAAAAUACGAGGAGCCGUCGAGUCUUCUGCAAACUGAGAAGAUAACUCUCACUAAAAGCCUCAACGUCAUCAUGUACAACAUGAUCCUGAUGCUGAAUUCCUGGCAUAUGCGCGAGUACGUCCGGUCACUUGAGCAGACAGUUUAUUCUUUGAUCGAAGUAACGAAGCUCGGCACCGACGUCCAUGACUUCAAGUCACCCAAGAAAUUAUCUGAAGGCUCAUUGGCUUCUCUUGUCCACAACGCCUACGCCGCACUGGGACAGCUGUGUGACGUAAGACAUGGACCAGUUGAACUGACCAUCAAGCUGAUAGCGAAAAAUAUACUGCCCCAUAUGCUGUAUAAUUAUACAAGUAUUCCAUUGAAGUCACUGACUGUAGUCCGCGACACGACGAUACAUUUUUUGAAAACGCUGCUGCUGAGCCAUGAAAAAAAUUCCGAGACCGGCAUCAUGAUCCUGAUUCAACAUCUCAUGGUUAAUUGUCCGGAGAGACUCGAGGCGAGACAGAAGCAAGCGAGUGUUAUUGUAAAAUUGAUAAACAUUUGCCAGGACAAUCUCUACGGUAAGAUAAUAAAAGACCUGGUUUCAUUUUCCCACAACAAUAAAAUACCCUGCAGAAUUUUCGCGCAGGAAAUAAUCGGAAAAUUUUUGUUGGAGAGCACGAGAGAUGAAGACCGCGCUGCUCUGACAAUUAAAUAUAAAUGUAUUUUAUUUGCUGGUGUUCUAAGUCGGUGCACUGACGUGUCGAGUAUGGUAAGAGGGAGAGCCAUGGCGACACUCGUCGAGUACACGGACACCAGCGACAAUCCAUUUGUCAUGGAGAUCUUCAGUUACUCUGAGUCCGAACGUCCGUUGCCGACACUACAAACUCUCAUUAACGCGUUUUCUGAUGACGUCACUGAUAGUAUUUUACCAGACGCAAAUACUUUGAUAUCGAUGCUAAAAAGUCGAGCUGAAGAUGAACGCGCGCUGGUGCGCCGCAGCUCGAUGCAAAUUUUCCAAAACGCGGUUCUAAAUGUCCCCGAAUUACUGGACGAGGUCGUCCCGGUUAUCAGCAAUCACUGUCGCGACCCUGCGAUGAUCGUCCGUAAGUUCGCGAUCCAGGUCCUGACGACUCUAUUGGAAUCUUAUCCAAACCAUCCGAGUUUGUAUAAAACUUGGGUCAAGUCAGUGGUACCUCAGAUAUUUGACAUCGAAAUAAAAGUACAGGAGAAAGUACUCGAGACAAUGGAAGGUUUGAUCAUCGACCGGAUUGACAAGUCGUUCAAAAAAAAUGACACGCUGCCUUGGAAAAUUUUGAAUGAACUGACGUUUAUGAAAAUGCGUAAGCAUCUGACGCGCGCUUGCGACGCCUGGAUCCACAGCGACAUCAUCACCAAUUCUACAGUAAUUAAAAUUCAGUCUUACAUUAAUACCGAGCACAAUAUUCCUGCUUGGAUUAUUUUAUCAGCAAUUGCUGAGAACAAAACAGUACCAAAUAUGAAACAGUACUUCAAUAAUUACAAUGACAUAAUAAAAGGCGACAGUUUUUUAGAAUUUUUAUCACUCGAAGUCUUGCGUUGCUGCUGGUCGACAUUCGACGACGACUUUUUAUACAAACUAUCAACCGACAUUUAUAAAUCACUCAUAGAAUUGACAGUCAAUCCCGUGCUGAUAAGUCUCUCCCUCGAUAUACUCAGUGGUAUCGCAAAACAUUUGAAUUUAAACUUCGAAUCCCAGAUGAUUGACCUGAUGCGCGGGUCAGAAAAAAUAAUCGAGCAGAUAAUCGACAGCGACAUUGAUCAUAAAAUAAAUAUCGAUAAUUAUACAAAAGCCAUUUGUACACUAGGUCAUGCCUCGUUAUUCAGUACAAGUAAAAUACGUCUGUCAGUGCUGCGUAUUUUGCAGGGAAUGCUGAUUGACUGGGAGACGAUGCCACUGACAAUUAAAGACUCGCGUGAAUUACAGGCCACGGCAAUUGUUGCCUUGGGACAGCAGGCAAUGAGAGAAGAGAAAAUAGCCCACGAGAUGAUGCCGAUAUUCGGACAAUUACUGAGCUCCGGUGUCGAUAUUUCAAUUGAUUCCCAAUACAACUGCGAUGUUGAUGCCGCUGUGCGUGUCAAUGCCGCCAAAGCACUUGCUGAUGUGUGCACACGUUUUACAGCACUUGUAGAACCAUAUUUACCUGACAUGUGCGUCAGCAUGAAAGGCAACAAUGCAACAGUCCGCGAGGCCAUCGUCGUUAUUUUUAUCCAGUUACUCGUCGAGGACUACAUCAAAGUAAAGGGGACAUUUUUCUUCCACAUCCUCACGAUGUUGUCUGACCCAGAUGACACGAUCCGUGAAAUGACCAUUUUUCUUAUCAAAGAAAGAUUGCUGGUAAAAAACAAAACGCUGAUAUCCCAACAAUUUUUAGAGAGUAUUUUUCAUUACAAUGACUACGAAUUAGAUGACAAAUAUUUUGACAGAAAGAUGGGGGCUGGGGAAAAAAAAGCGCUGACGUUACCUGGUGAUAGGAAUUUUGCAAAACGAUUUAUUAUUUAUGAUUUCAUGCUAGAGCAUCUUGACCCGCCUGGUAAAUUAAAACUGUUGGUUAGAUUGACAACGCAGGUUCUUCAUCGUGGACUGAGUGAUAAAAUAAAUUUGAAUAAUGAAAAAGGAUGCUGUGUUUUGAAAGAUACCUUUUAUAUUAUUGCUAAUGAUAAUUUGCAGGCAUCAUCUUGUACUAGUAAACAUACUGAUGAUGAUGCUGAUGAUGCUGGGGUAAAUAGUACUGGUACUGGUACUGGUACUGGGACUGGGACUGGGACAGGAUCUGGUACUGGUACGAGUAGUAACGCAGGUCAUGUUAUUGCUGAAGGAAUUAAAAAACAUGGACUGAAUCAUUUACUGCCGACAUUGAUGAAGUUGAAGAAGAAAUUGAUUGGUUGUGGGUCUAAAUUAACUGAAGAUAUUUCGAAAGCUAUUGCGCGAAUUGGUGUGGAGUUUAGUAAAGAACAAUUGACUACUUUGUACAAUGAGUGCCCGGAAAUAGAAAAAGAAAUGGAGUUUGACAUACGGAAAUAUGGUAAGAAAGGAACGGAUGAGACUUCGCAGGAUUCAAAUUCCCCGCCAGGAAUUAUUCACCCGUUGUUGAAUAACAAUAGAAUUCCACGGGUUGUUAUUGAAAAGUUAACGACUUUGAGUUGCAAUGAUGAAGAGACGGAAAAUAUUAUUGUGGAAAAAAUAAAUUCCUCGAAUAUUGCGGACGGUAAAAGGACAGGCGGUUUAGUUAACGAGUCACUUAAUUCACUUGUGGAUGAACCUGAGUCUAGUAAAUAGCUGAGAAAGCUGUGAUAAGAUUUAAAAAAAUGAAAGGUAAAGGUACAAAUAAAAUUAACAAAAAUAUAUGUAAGAAGUUAUCUCGUAAGAAUUGAAAUUUUAAAUAAAUUAUAAUUGAUAUUGAAUUAAAUAAAAAAAAUUAUUAAAAAAUUUCAAGUUUUCUAAAAAUUUAUUUAAAAUAAUUAUGGUAAUAAGAAUUAAAUAUAUGAGGGAAUGAUUCAAAAUGUAUGUUAUUUUUAAAUACAUUAAUAUAUUUAUUAGGGGUAUGCGAAUAGUGCUCGAAUCGAAUCGAAUAAUGGUAUUCGAUUUGAAUAUCGAAUCAAAUAUUCGAACUAUUGGAAUGUUUUUUAAAUAUAGAAAAAAUAUUAAAUUAAAAAUUAAAAUUUUUCUUUAAAAUUCGAAAAAUCUCAAUAACAAAUUUGCGUUUUUUUCUGUUUACUUUCCCAGUGAAACUAUCAGACUUAUCACAAAAGGUCAUUAGAUUUUUUUUAUAGAUAAUUUUAUUUCUAAGAAAUUAUCUUUUAUGACGAAUUUUAAAUUUUAAGUUUCCGCAUUCUAGUUUUUACAUUUUCUAUUUCAAGUCUAAAAAAUUAUCCUUCUUAUGAUGAUCUUUAGUUAUUUUGUACAACGCAAUCACAUUAAUAACACGAGUAUACAUAAAUAAAUAUAGUGGGGACAAUUAAUAUAAAUUGCCAAUUAAAUUAUUACUAAUCCAUAAAGUAAUUGGUCAAAGUAUCGAUAGCUUCUGAAUAAAUCUGAAGAUUUACUCAACUACUAUAAGAAAUGUUCAACAUGAAGAUAUUUUUGUUGGCAGUUUUGCUAGUGGCUUUGUUUGCUGCCGAAACUUAUGCAUGCCGUCCACCCGGCACUUCGUGUUCGUCAAAAGGUGAGAAG